Molecule: ribosomal RNA, 253 nt
Filed under: uncultured bacterium
Lineage: Bacteria
Description: partial 16S ribosomal RNA
Rfam family: Bacterial small subunit ribosomal RNA
Source: RNAcentral
UACAGAGGGGGCGAGCGUUAUUCGGAAUUAUUGGGCGUAAAGGGCGCGUAGGCGGCCUGGUGUGUCUACGGUGAAAUCCCUCGGCUUAACCGAGGAAUGGCCGUGGAAACUGCCGGGCUCGAGGCCGGGAGAGGGUAGUGGAAUUCCCAGUGUAGCGGUGAAAUGCGUAGAUAUUGGGAGGAACACCGGUGGCGAAGGCGGCUACCUGGACCGGUUCUGACGCUGAGGCGCGAAAGCGUGGGGAGCAAACAGG